UAGGGAAUCUUCCACAAUGGACGCAAGUCUGAUGGAGCAACGCCGCGUGAGUGAAGAAGGCUUUUCGGGUCGUAAAACUCUGUUAUUGAAGAAGAACGUGUGUGACAGUAACUGGUCAUGCAGUGACGGUAUUCAAUCAGAAAGUCACGGCUAACUACGUGCCAGCAGCCGCGGUAAUACGUAGGUGGCAAGCGUUGUCCGGAUUUAUUGGGCGUAAAGCGAGUGCAGGCGGUCUUUUAAGUCUGAUGUGAAAGCCUUCGGCUUAACCGAAGAAGGGCAUCGGAAACUGGGAGACUUGAGUGCAGAAGAGGAGAGUGGAACUCCAUGUGUAGCGGUGAAAUGCGUAGAUAUAUGGAAGAACACCAGUGGCGAAGGCGGCUCUCUGGUCUGUAACUGACGCUGAGGCUCGAAAGCGUGGGUAGCAAACAGGAUUAGAUACCCUGGUAGUCCACGCCGUAAAACGAUGAAUACUAAGUGUUGGAGGGUUUCCGCCCUUCAGUGCUGCAGCUAACGCAUUAAGUAUUCCGCCUGGGGAGUACGACCGCAAGGUUGAAAC
This 556-nucleotide ribosomal RNA is filed under the name uncultured bacterium. Its description in RNAcentral is "partial 16S ribosomal RNA". It matches the Rfam family "Bacterial small subunit ribosomal RNA", at positions 355 to 900 of the family's 1533-position model. The record is from RNAcentral.